GUUUUGAUGACAAGCUUAAAAAAUUUUUUGCUGUGUGGCUGGCAAGAUGGCCAAAUAGGAACAGCUGCAGCCUGCAGCUCCCAGUGAGAUCAACGCAGAAGUGGUGCCUGGAAUGCCAGAGAGACAGAACCAUUCACUCCCUGGAAAGGAGGCUGAAACCAGGGAGCCAAGUGGUCUAGCUCAGUGGAUCCCACCCCCAUGGAGCCCAGCAAGGCUCCACUGGCAGAAGAGUGGCAGAGAAGGAGAGAAGAGAAGCAGCA
Gorilla gorilla gorilla (western lowland gorilla) is the source of this 260-nucleotide long non-coding RNA. RefSeq lists it as uncharacterized. The record is from RefSeq and is a predicted model, not a curated record. The transcript is spliced from 3 exons. Lineage: Eukaryota; Metazoa; Chordata; Mammalia; Primates; Hominidae.